This is a long non-coding RNA of Alligator mississippiensis (American alligator), 4488 nucleotides long. RefSeq lists it as uncharacterized. The transcript has 2 exons. Lineage: Eukaryota; Metazoa; Chordata; Crocodylia; Alligatoridae. The record is from RefSeq and is a predicted model, not a curated record.
GGAGGGACAGGCUACAACUAGAUCUGGACAGGUUACAGGGGUGGGCGGAUGAGAACAGGAUGGGUUCAACACUGACAAGUGCAAGGUGCUGCACCUGGGGAGGAGGAACCAGCAGCAGACCUACAGGCCGGGGAGCUCCCUUCUCGUCAGUGCAAAGGCAGAAAAGGAUCUUGGGGUCAUUAUAGACUCCAAGAUGAACAUGGGCCGACAGUGUGGGGAUGCAGUCAGGAAGGCCAACUGCACCUUGUCAUGCAUCCACAGAUGCAUCUCGAGCAGGUCUAAGGAGGUGAUCCUCCCCCUCUACAUGACACUGGUCAGGCCACAGUUGGAGUGCCAUGUCCAGUUCUGGGUGUUGCACUUCAGGAGGGCUGUGGACAGCAUGGAGCGGGUCCAGAGGAGGCCACCCGCAUGAUCCGGGGGCAGCAGGGCAGGCCCUACGAGGAGAGGCUACGGGACCUGAACCUGUUCAGCCUUCACAAGAGAAGGCUGAGAGGAGAUCUGGUGGCCGCCAACAAACUGGCCAAGGGGGACCAGCAGGCAAUGGGGGAAUCCCUGUUCCCUCAAGCACUACCGGGAGUAAUGAGAAAUAACAGCCAUAAGUUGACCGAGAGUAGGUUCAGGCUAGAUAUCAGGAGGCGCUACUUCACAGUCAGGGCGGCUAGGAGCUGGAACCAACUUCCAAGGGAAGUGGUGCUGGCUCCUACCCUGGGGAUCUUCAAAAGGGCUGCACAGACACCUUGCCAGGGUCGUUUGACCCCAGCACUCUUUCCUGCCCAGGGCAGGGGGCAGGACUUGAUGAUCUGCUCAGGUCCCUUCCAAGCCUACGUACUAUGAAACUAUAAAGCACUGGAAUACAUUCAUGUUCGAAAUUUUACAUGCUGUGUAAAACGGUGGGAAGACACGGAGCCUGCACUCUUUUUUGCUGAUAAUAAAGUUGAUGCAAUUGGGAAAGUCGUUGUGAGAGCGCAUGCUGACGACUUGUAUAAGCCGGGAUGGGGUUGAUGUAGGGUAUAAAGGAGUGGCCACGCUUAACCCCAGAGUGGUGAAUAGCACUAAGCUGCCGUGGUGGGGUUUUGUUCCAGACCCUACAAGAAAUGAAGGAGAGGAGAAAAUAGUGGACCCUGGGGACUUUCUAAUUGUAGGAUUGUAUCAGCGUAAUUGCUCUAACCUACCCUUUAAUUUGUCCGAUGAAUCCAAUUUGCCGUAUAGAAAUGCAUAUGAUUGUUGUUGGCCUGUAAGAGAACAGAAGUUCGUCUUUCUGCAGAGCAACCCUACAGGUCCCAGUCCCACUUCUGGUACGGUUCCAACCUGUGCAGGUGUAUGUAGCACCCUUGGGAACUACAUUGAAUAUCUAGGCUAGCCGGCCUGAAAAUGACUUGACCAAGAUUAAGCCUGAACGUAAGCCGCACAGCGUUCCCUUAUUCAAUGCAUGGCUCAGAGCUCUCCAACAGGAACCAGAUCGCGUUCAUCGUAGACGCGAUCUGCCGGACACCAUUUUGGGAGGUGCGGGAGCAGGUUCAGGAAUUUUAAGCUCCGUUGAUUUAGACGCGUUGAUGAAUAAAGCCAGCGCUGUUGCAACACUACACUCUAAAACCCCCCGGGGACGGGAACAGCACCUUGCUGAAAGCACACAAACCGGUUUGGAUACUACUGAGUUGCAAUGGCACACAUGGAGACAUUUAAAUCGUACAUUUUGGGCUCAGUAUGCCACCAUGAGGCAAAGAGUCAAUAAAGCAGCCAGAGAGAGCCCUAUGGUGUUCAGAAUAGCAAUUAUUAGCAAUCAUGAUGACUGAAAGAGAAAUGGAUUGGAUACGUGCUAAAGAGAUGGCUGUCAUAGCUCCUUUAUUGACAAAACAUAAUGUGUUCCUUCCGUAUAUACUGCAGUGGUAUAAGCCUUUAACACUGCAGAUAUUUGUCACAUCCCUAACCGGUCUUUUGUGCAUACAAGCGAUUCGAGCACUAUCCCACUACGCCCUGGCGUGUUGUGGCCAUUCACAGCCCUCCCAACCAUUCAAGGGCAGCAUAUUUGGGUUCCAGGACUAAUUGGCAAAUACCUAAAUGAUCAAGGUAAUAUUGUAGACCAUGGGAUGUGUGAGAAAUGGAUUGCACAGCAGCGGAUAUGCCCUACGCUACCGUCUUUAGAAGAACCCUGCUCACUUCAAGGUGAAGGGCUAUCCACGUGCUACUGGGAUGGGUUAGAAAAUAGUACCACUAAAGCAUAUUAUGAUGGAAACGACUGUGCAUGUGUAAUAGGGUUUGAAAAACUUAUUUGGCAAGGGAAAAAUAUCUCACUUCCUCCUGUGCAACACUGUGUAUGUAGUUCACACUCCUUCCCUCACCUACUAUUUCACAAGGCACGUGAUUGAGACCAUGAAUCUUGAGCACAUCAAUAAUAGGUUAAAUUUGAACUUUUCUUUGGGAAUCAGUUGGCCAACACUUUAUACUCUAUUGUGCGGAAAUGAAGAGAUAACUCAUUUCACAAUUGCCACUUGCAUGCACGGGCAAGCAUGUAGUAUAGCCACACUGUGCCAGGGGAGGGACAUUUUUAAAAUGUCUGAGUAAGCAAGGCAGCUGUUCGUGCAUCAUUGGUAUGAUAUUUCUACGGGCUGGGUUCUGCCUGGAACAGCAAUUAUAAGUAUCCUGUUGCACCCUGUGAUUAUAUUGUUUGUAUUGCUCGGGAUAGCGUUCAUUAUAACGAGUUAUAUGCGCUGUUGGAUGAAGUCUUUACAUCCUAAACUCUUUGUUCGGGAUUAAAUAUCUGGCCCUUAAACAGAUAUAAGUACAGCCCAUUCUUCACUAUGGUUUAAAGGGCCAAGCGGGGGAUAUGUCGUGUAUAAUUGAAUAAAGUUUUCUUUUUUACUAUGGUUAAUCCUAGCAAUAUGUAACGCAAGGCCAGAACAUGUUAGCUUAGAGAGCUUGGCAUUGGAAUAGGUUAUGUUUAGAUUAUGGAUUAAUAGUAUUAUAUUGAUGGGACUAUGUUUAGUAGAGAUAUAUGUAUUAUGUGUAAUCAUUUACAUAUGUAAGCUCUUUAUAUAAGCUCUUUAUAUAAGUAUAUUAAUGAUAGUAGUAUGAUUGAGUUAAGGAAUUAAAAGUUUGUGUGGGAUGUCGAUUGUGCCUGGGAAAGCGGGCUGAGUUACCAGACAGCGAGCUGGUUAACGGCUGGCUGAAGAACUAGCCUGUGGCCAGGUGCCCAGGAGAUAAGAGACAGCAAGAUGAAGGAGGAAUUCUGCAUAUCCUGCAGUUUAGCCUAACCGACAUUUCAAGACUGGAAGACUGACUUUUACAACAGGAGUGACCGCGAGCAGAGAGAACUUGGAAGAUUGAUGAGGAACAGCUGGCUGAGGACUGAGAAUGGAAAGAUACCUCGACUUCGAACAAAGACUUGAAAUCCCUGUACAAGUGGGAUCCAGCCGUGCUGAGAUGGGAAUCCGCGCUCUGCGAUCUUCCCGGGUGCUCAGGCGUGGCUGUUCCCCCCGCUCCCAUCACCCUCAAUGCGCCCGGGCUGGCCACCCAGUGCUGACCUUGAGCAAGCAAGCUGGUAACUGUAACAUCUGUACGGAGUGUGUGUGUCUGUGUGCGUGGCUGUGUGAAUGGUGUGUUUAAUGUACGUCUUAUUAUGUUUUUGCUUUAUGUAAUCCAUCCACGCGGCAUUUUGCCUUAUCCCCCUUCAUAAGGUCUGGCUCGUGAUUUGAGCAAUUGGCCGUUUGAUAGCAUUUCCUUGCAGGAGGACUCUACCGUUGGUGUGUCUGUCUUCACCCUGGAUUCAGAGGCUCUUCGCUGGCAGCAUUGACAGCACUCCUCCAGCAACUUGAGCUGUCCCCUGGACAUGGGCUACGUCUCAGCUCUGUGCAGCGUGGUGGGGAUCACGACUGCUCGAUAAACCAUGAGCUUGGUUUGGGAUCUGAUGUCGCAAUCUUCGAAGACCUGGUUCUUCAAGCGUCCAAAGGCUGCAUGUGCAUGUUUGAGAUGCUGUUGGAUUUCUUGGUUGCUGUUGGGCUCUUGGUUGCGAGAGACGGCUUCCAAGUUAUCCUCAGUAAAGAUGUGGAUGAUUGCCUGACGGUCUGAGCACACACUACGGCAUCAUCAGCAUACUGGAGCUUGAUGAUGGAGGUAGGGUGGUCUUGGUUUUGGCUUGGAGUCGGGUGAGGUUAAACAGCUUACCAUCCAUUUGGUAGUUCAGCCCCCCUCUGGUUGGAAACUUGGUGGCGGUCAGCAGGGAUCCAGGUUUUCUGUUUGCUGCGGAAAAAUGCAGAUUUUCUCAUUUAAAGGUUGUGUCCCGUGAGCCAGUUUUCCACCCACUUGACUGCGAACAAAUCCAUGUCACAGCUACUCAGUUUGCUAGUAAGAACUGGGUGCGACACCGCGCCGAAAGCCUUUUUAAAGUCCAAUUCAGUAACAUCUACCUCUACUCCUGCAUCUACGCACUUUGUGACCUGGGCAUAAAUAAAGACCAAGUUAGUCAGGCAGGAUCUGCCUGCUAUAAACCCA